CAGCAGCCGCGGUAAUACGAAGGGGGCUAGCGUUGCUCGGAAUCACUGGGCGUAAAGGGUGCGUAGGCGGGUUUUUAAGUCAGAGAUGAAAUCCUGGAGCUCAACUCCAGAACUGCCUUUGAUACUGAAAGUCUUGAGUAUGGGAGAGGUGAGUGGAACUGCGAGUGUAGAGGUGAAAUUCGUAGAUAUUCGCAAGAACACCAGUGGCGAAGGCGGCUUACUGGCUCAUUCUAGACGCUGAGGUGCGAAAGCGUGGGGAGCAAACAGGAUUAGAUACCCCAGUAGUCCCUGUCUCUUAUAC
RNAcentral lists this ribosomal RNA (301 nucleotides) under uncultured bacterium. RNAcentral describes it as "partial 16S ribosomal RNA". It matches the Rfam family "Bacterial small subunit ribosomal RNA", at positions 509 to 807 of the family's 1533-position model. The record is from RNAcentral.